UAGUUACUGCCACCGGGUAGAAAUGCAGAGCAUUUGUUAAGUACAUCGUUAGGUCUUUGAAGAUGUACUGAGCAAGUGCUGUUUUUU
RNAcentral lists this non-coding RNA (87 nucleotides) under unclassified sequences. The record is from RNAcentral.